UACGGGGGGGGCAAGCGUUGUUCGGAAUUACUGGGCGUAAAGGGCUCGUAGGUGGCCAACUAAGUCAUACGUGAAAUCCCUCGGCUUAACCGGGGAACUGCGUCUGAUACUGGAUGGCUUGAGUUCGGGAGAGGGAUGCGGAAUUCCAGGUGUAGCGGUGAAAUGCGUAGAUAUCUGGAGGAACACCGGUGGCGAAGGCGGCCACCUGGACGGUAACUGACGCUGAGACGCGAAAGCGUGGGGAGCAAACAGG
Molecule: ribosomal RNA, 253 nt
Filed under: uncultured bacterium
Lineage: Bacteria
Description: partial 16S ribosomal RNA
Rfam family: Bacterial small subunit ribosomal RNA
Source: RNAcentral